UUACCCACUCCCGGCACGGGGAGGUAGUGACGAAAAAUAACAAUACGGGACUCUUUUGAGACCCCGUAAUUGGAAUGAGUACACUCUAAAUCCUUUAACGAGGAUCUAUUGGAGGGCAAGUCUGGUGCCAGCAGCCGCGGUAAUUCCAGCUCCAAUAGCGUAUAUUAAAGUUGUUGCGGUUAAAAAGCUCGUAGUUGGAUCUCAGUUCCAGACGGGCGGUCCUCCUAACGGUGGUUACUGCCUGGCCUGAACAGCCAGCCGGUUUCCCUAGAUGAUCUUCACCGGUUGUCUUGGGUGACCGGCACGUUUACUUUGAAAAAAUUAGAGUGCUCAAAGCAGGCGUGUAGCCUGAAUAAUGGUGCAUGGAAUAAUGGAAUAGGACUUCGUUUCUAUUUUGUUGGUUUUCGGAACACGAGGUAAUGAUUAAGAGGGACAGACGGGGGCAUUCGUAUUGCGACGCUAGAGGUGAAAUUCUUGGACCGUCGCAAGACGAACUA
RNAcentral lists this ribosomal RNA (497 nucleotides) under Macrothelidae gen. 2 sp. 2 ZZY-2021a. RNAcentral describes it as "SSU rRNA". It matches the Rfam family "Eukaryotic small subunit ribosomal RNA", at positions 441 to 942 of the family's 1831-position model. Lineage: Eukaryota; Metazoa; Arthropoda; Arachnida; Araneae; Macrothelidae. The record is from RNAcentral.